CCUACGGGGGGCUGCAGUGGGGAAUCUUGCGCAAUGGGCGAAAGCCUGACGCAGCGACGCCGCGUGGGGGAGGAAGCUCUUCGGAGUGUAAACCCCUGUCAGAGGGGAAGAAUGGUCCCGGGAGGAAAUGCCUGGGAUUUGACGGUACCCUCAGAGGAAGCACCGGCUAACUCUGUGCCAGCAGCCGCGGUAAUACAGAGGGUGCGAGCGUUGUUCGGAAUUACUGGGCGUAAAGCGCGCGCAGGCGGCCUUUUAAGUCUACCCGUGAAAUGCCG
Molecule: ribosomal RNA, 275 nt
Filed under: uncultured bacterium
Lineage: Bacteria
Description: partial 16S ribosomal RNA
Rfam family: Bacterial small subunit ribosomal RNA
Source: RNAcentral